UACGGGGGGGGCAAGCGUUGUUCGGAAUUACUGGGCGUAAAGGGCUCGUAGGCGGCCAACUAAGUCAGCCGUGAAAUCCCUCGGCUUAACCGGGGAACUGCGUCUGAUACUGGAUGGCUAGAGAUUGGGAGAGGGAUGCGGAAUUCCAGGUGUAGCGGUGAAAUGCGUAGAUAUCUGGAGGAACACCGGUGGCGAAGGCGGCACCCUGGACCAACACUGACGCUGAGGAGCGAAAGCCAGGGGAGCAAACGGG
Molecule: ribosomal RNA, 253 nt
Filed under: uncultured bacterium
Lineage: Bacteria
Description: partial 16S ribosomal RNA
Rfam family: Bacterial small subunit ribosomal RNA
Source: RNAcentral